GCAUUAUCAUCAUGUUUUCUCGUGUGCUCUUGGUUUGCUUGGCCCUGUUCGCUGUGGCAUAUGCACAACCUGUCCCUGGGGAUACGGUCGAUGUCAGUGAUGUUCCCCGUUCGGGUCUAGCUCGUCCUUUGGUUGUUCCCGAGCCAGACGAUAAUCCCCAGCAGCGCACUUUGUUUCUUCUCCUCCCGAUUCUAUUCCCGGAAUACUAUUACUACUCGUAAUUGAAUAAAUAAAAAACAUUGAUCAAGCUUA
Molecule: RNA transcript, 252 nt
Organism: Drosophila biarmipes
Lineage: Eukaryota; Metazoa; Arthropoda; Insecta; Diptera; Drosophilidae
Exons: 2
Source: RefSeq, a predicted model, not a curated record